RNAcentral lists this long non-coding RNA (1166 nucleotides) under Neogale vison (American mink). Its description in RNAcentral is "Neovison vison (American mink) lncRNA (ENSNVIG00000005406.1)". Lineage: Eukaryota; Metazoa; Chordata; Mammalia; Carnivora; Mustelidae. The record is from RNAcentral.
UGUUUUUUUGUUGUUGUGGGAGGGCGAGACCACGUGCGUUCUCAGAGGCUGGGAGACGUUUUGAACCGCUAUUUCCGCAAAAGCCGUGGAACCGGCGGACCCAUGGGAAGGCGUGGUCUGUCGCCUACAACCGGCGGAAUUAUGGUGUCUGGCGAACUCUCCAGAUCGCCGGGUCCAUCACUUAAACCAUUCUUCUGCUCCUCCACUCCCUUGGUUCUUGUUCCAUCUCCUCAAACCUAUAUGCAUGCACCUGUCCAGACCCUGCCUAAAAGCACUGUUGCUCCAGAAAGGUGCUGAAGAAAAAUGCCAGGACUGCGCAGAUUCAGCCACCGCCUAACCCCAGUCCUGACAUACCAGGGUACUUGACAUUCUUUGCAGCAACACAAUGGAUGAAGAUGAACAGGAACUUCAGAAUAAGAACUGACGACGUGUGAAUCUUGGUUCUACCAUUCACUGAGGCACUUUCUGUCUUCGUACAUGUCUAAGUAAAAGGUGCCUAAUGUUGUGAGAUCUCAAUUUAUUUCUCUGUGAAGCAACAACAAACAGUAACCUGAAUGUAUUAGUCUGCCCAGGGCGCAAUUACAAAGUACUACAGAUGGGGGCUGGGGCUUAAACAACAGGUAUUGAUUUUCUUACAGUUCUGGAGACUGGAAGUCCAAGGUUAAGGUGUUGGCAGUGUUAAUUGCUGGUGAGACCUCUCACCUUGCUCUCUUCCUUGCUAUGUCCUCACAUGGCCCUUCUGUGCAUGCACAAAGAGAGAGAAGCUCUGGUGUCUCUCCCUCCUGUUUGGUCCUAUUGGAUUAGGGUCUUACCUCUAUGACCUCAUUUAACCUUAACUAUCUCCACAAAGGUCUUACUUGCAAAUAUGGUGAUAUUUGGGGGUUAGGACUUCAACAUGAAUUUUGGAGGAACAUAAUUCAGUUUAUAACAACUGAACACUGUCACAAGGAUUACUUCUGAUUAUAUGUCAAUGGAACCUAGUCUCCUACCUACAGCAUAACAAGUGCUCAAUGGAUAUUGGUUCCCUUACCUUCUACCCUAGGUCAUUUCCCUCCUGAGUGGGUCACCUUCUUCUCUACACAUGAGGAGCCGUAUUUGACCCUUCGCAUAGAUUGCGCAGAUAGUUACAGAAUAAACAGAAGGCUUCCUAUGACUUCGAUUUAGUA